CUGACCUACGGGGCGCAGCAGUGAGGAAUAUUGGUCAAUGGGCGGGAGCCUGAACCAGCCAAGUCGCGUGAGGGAAGACGGUCCUACGGAUUGUAAACCUCUUUUGCCGGGGAGCAACGGGGUCCUUGCGCGGGCCCGAUGAGAGUACCCGGAGAAAAAGCAUCGGCUAACUCCGUGCCAGCAGCCGCGGUAAUACGGAGGAUUCGUGCGUUAUCCGGAUUUAUUGGGUUUAAAGGGUGCGUAGGCGGGCUGUUAAGUCAGUGGUC
This 266-nucleotide ribosomal RNA is filed under the name uncultured bacterium. Its description in RNAcentral is "partial 16S ribosomal RNA". It matches the Rfam family "Bacterial small subunit ribosomal RNA", at positions 334 to 596 of the family's 1533-position model. The record is from RNAcentral.